GACGAACGCUGGCGGCGUGCCUAAAACAUGCAAGUCGAACGAGGUAGCAAUACCUAGUGGCGAACGGCGAAGUAAUACAUAAGCAACGUGCCCCAAAGACUGGGAUAGCCCGGGGGAAACCCGGAGUAAUACCGGAUGUGGUCGUUACAGGGCAUCCUGUGACGAUUAAAUGGUUUUUCGCUUUGGGAGCGGCUUAUGGCCUAUCAGGUAGUUGGUGGGGUAAUGGCCUACCAAGCCGACGACGGGUAGCGGGUCUGAGAGGAUGACCCGCUCGAGUGGGACUGAGACACGGCCCACACACCUACGGGUGGCAG
RNAcentral lists this ribosomal RNA (314 nucleotides) under uncultured Armatimonadota bacterium. RNAcentral describes it as "bacterial SSU rRNA". It matches the Rfam family "Bacterial small subunit ribosomal RNA", at positions 28 to 351 of the family's 1533-position model. The record is from RNAcentral. Lineage: Bacteria; Bacillati; Armatimonadota.